AUUACACAAAAAAAGAGGACUAUCACGCUGAAAGGCUGCAGAUUAAGACAGUUUUUCUGGAUGAGUGACUCUAAAGUGGUAGCAAUGGACUGUUGCAAUGCAGUCUCUGCGGGGCUGUUCUUGAAUGGUAUUUAGAAGCUUCGGUUGGUUCAGAAUGGUCCAAAUUCAUUGCAGGAUUCAAAGUGCCAAGUUAGUUAGUUAUCCAGUCCAAUAGUCAAGAGUCCAAGAAUAAGUAAACACAGGAACCGGAGUCAUGAACUAGGAUUCCAAUUGAUUGUUUUCAAUAAAAAGGCAAAGCAGCUACAUAAAUAUGACUGCAGCCAGCUGGCUGCAAUUACUCAGGUCACGACCUUUGCCUAGUGAGAAGCCUCAUGGACUGGCGUAGCUUUGCUUUUCACUGCAUGCAUCAAGAUCUAUGGCUUGGAGGUUGUGUCUCAUCAUUGACUGCUCCAGCUGAUCAAGAGAUGCUUCGGAUUCCUCAGCCUCUUCAGAUGUAUCAUGGCUUGAAGUUUCCAAAGGCUGACAAUCCACAGACUCAAUUGGCACACCAUUGUCAGAAUCAGACUCAGGGUCUAAAUCUUUAUUGUGACCCAUAACUCUGCCCCCUGUGGUUUCUACUUGUUCCAUUAGAGCCAGCUAGGCAGACUUUCUCCCAUUCUCUUAGAUGAAGUGAUAUCAUUCUGGUGGAGCAUACCUUCUCUGUCAUGAUGUCUCCCUUAUGGAUCUCAACCUCCUUCCAGAGAUUUGUUAACCAAAAUGUUAACAAAGCCUGGGUUUGUGGGUA
Pantherophis guttatus is the source of this 784-nucleotide non-coding RNA. Lineage: Eukaryota; Metazoa; Chordata; Lepidosauria; Squamata; Colubridae. The record is from RefSeq and is a predicted model, not a curated record.